Molecule: non-coding RNA, 68 nt
Organism: Podarcis lilfordi (Lilford's wall lizard)
Lineage: Eukaryota; Metazoa; Chordata; Lepidosauria; Squamata; Lacertidae
Source: the annotation of a GenBank genome assembly
GCUGUAGCUCAGUGGAAGAGCAUCUCCUUCCAAGCAGAUGAUUCCUGGUUCAACCCCUGGCAUCUCCA